RNAcentral lists this long non-coding RNA (713 nucleotides) under Panicum hallii. RNAcentral describes it as "long non-coding RNA (PHAL_LNC000950)". The record is from RNAcentral. Lineage: Eukaryota; Viridiplantae; Streptophyta; Magnoliopsida; Poales; Poaceae.
ACAGCACUAUGCAAAAACGAAUUUCAAAAAUAAUCUUAUAACAUAUAUUAUAGAAGCAGCAUUCUUAAAAAGAAGUCAAUUACAAACAAGACCCAAACGGACAGACACACGUAAAUACCUCCACGCAUCGCAGAAGCGAGAACCCAGAGGAAUCCACAGGCAAGCUGCAAAACGUCGUUGUCACCUCCACGAAGCUCGGGGCGAAAACCACUGGAGGCACGACGUUCAAACGAACCCAUAAUAAUGCUUGGAGUCAGGGUGGAAAAGCCUCCCCAGGAGGCUUGAAGAGGAAGAAGACUUCGUUGAUGAAGACCAACAUCGGUGACCCAAGGACGCAGUUGAAAGCGAUGCCAACGGGUAGAAAAGUAGAGUCCUCAAAUCCAGGGGAAUGCUUGCAACAUAACAAAUGACAGAGGUCCAUGGGGACCCAGAGAUGCUUCAGUAGAAAAAACAGUGGGGGAGAGAGGAGAAGCAAACCAAAACCAUAGCAAAAAAUCAGCAAGCAAAGACCGCAGAGAUUCACUCCUGUGAAAACAGAAGCAAAUAUGUAGCACAAGCAAGCAUAUCUACCAUGACUCUAAACUAAACAAAAACCAAAGCAACCAGAUCCAUGUAGAAAUCUGGAAGCAAGAGAAAGGAGGGAAAAAUAAGGAAGGACGAAGGAGGAGGAAGAGCCAAACCACAGGGCAGAGGAAACGGAGGAAGAGGAACGA